CCCACGUGCGGGAGGCACCUCGGCCCUUUCCACGGCCUUCCCUGGGUGAGAAUUCCACGACAAAAUGGUUGGGAAGGAAAACCUCGGCUCGCUCUUGCGACCGAGAGGUGGCGACGCCGCUCAAGCUUCUCCCUCCGGCGACCUGGAACAGCGCCUCCGCCUCCCUCCGGUGAUGACUCGCCAAACGCUACACACCCCUGCAAGUUCCUCUGCUUCCCGGCGACAACGACGACGACGACCUAGCGGCCAUACAUCUGCUUCCACCAAGAUCCACUCUCCCCAAAUAUCUGUCCCGUCCGGCGACUAGGACGACCCGGCGUUUGUCUUCCUUCUCCUUCGGCCAAGUGGAAGCACGGAAACUUGAUUCUGUGCCGUUGGAUAAGGAUUGUGCGAUGUGAGAUGAAAAGAUGGACGAAAUGCAAAAAAGGACCCCAUAACCUUCCUGUACCUUAGUACAAAUCCUUGAUGGAAGAUGAGCCAUCCGUCCCUUUUCCUAUGGAGCUAUCCCGAUUCAAUUUUUCCCCAUCAACUAGGGUUAGGAGAUGGUCGCUUCGCCCAGCACGACGCCCUUGUUCCGCGCAGGGCCGUGGCCGGCGACCGCGUCUAAUUCCUUCUCUCAUCUCAGGCGGCCGGCGAUCGUGGCUAAUUCUUCUCCGGCCUUCCCUCAUCUCCGGCGGCUGGCCCAACACGCCAAUCAUCCUCUGAGCAUUCCCCAUCGGAUUGGUACUGGAUCUAAUAAGUCUCAAGUAACUAUGAAAUGCCAGAGCGAGGUGAGCAAGGCUCCACCUUUGGCUAUUUGUGACGCCCAGUCUGAUGCAGAAUGUGCCGUCCACACUAGACCAAGUGCCGAAAUUGUAUUUAUCACACCGCAAAAAUUGUAUAGUGCACCUUUCUGUGCUCAUCUUAUACUCCGGAGUGUGAUGAUGACAUCAGGCCAGCCAUAGGGAUGACUUUUAUGGAUUUGAAGGCAGCCAAGGAUUUCUAUGAAGCUUAUGCACAUCAUGUUGGUUUCUCAGUACGUGUGGGACAACACAAGACUGGCAACGGUGUCAUUACUCACAAUCGUUUCUACUUUGAUCGUGAAGGUUUCCACGAAGAGCGGAAAGGUAAGGAAAACUUAGUACAUGGCACUGGCAGUAAGAGGAAAUAUGAGAGGAAAAUCACUAGAUGUGGGUGUGAGGCUAAACUUGCGGUAAAACGUAAGAUUGAGAAUACGUUUGCUGGUGGCAGUAAAGACAUGUGAAGGUUUCAUAAACAAAGACUACUGCAGGAUGUUUGGAGUUGCAGUGGUGCACUGAUACGUUCUUCAGCUUGUACUCGAGUUAUGUCCGAUAUAUAAACGUGAGAUUUACUAUGACUGUUAAUGGCUAAUGAGUUAGUGAUGUGUCUAUGUUCUAACAAAACACCCUAGCAUAAUGCGGUUAACUACUGUACGUGCCUAUGUUGUAACAAAACUCCCUAGCAUAAUGUAGCUAUCAUGCCUUAACUACUGUACAUGUUGUUGAAGUAUGCAGUACUACAAGUGAAUACUGGGCUACUAAAAUUAGCUUCCUUCAAUUUUCUGUUGUCUCGUCUGUGGCAUUGCAUGUUAGUUGUUUUAGUUUCCUAAAUGCGAUUUUGCUGGUACUCUGCUAUUAGGAGACUAUUUAGAAUCAGCUUAUGUCAGUUCUGGUAUCCAUUGCAGCUACUUUUCCAUUUUAAAUCGAUGUGUAUGCAUCUCUGGCAUGCGUGGUGAAUCAUAGGCACAGCGCAUGGCUUACAGAUCCUACUUGCUGACAAAAAACUGGAAAUAAGUGGCAAGAGGCUAGCUGUGUUACUUGUAGGCCUGAGGGGUUCCAUGUCAAAUGUACUCUCUGGUUGCGGGCGUUGUUUUGCAAAUAGCACUGAGCAGUUACGAGUCAAUCUGGCCCAUACAAAUAGCAUCCAACAGUCUGUCCUCAGGUUUCCAGGAUUCCACUGAAUAUGUGGUUUCCAGGUGAUAUUGUCUCGACCUAUAUAUUAAUGACUACCACUCUGCCAUUAUUACUUAUCUGAAAUCUUGUUUCUCAAAUAUAUGACUGACAAGCAUGCAAGAUAGUAAAAUUCUGUUAAGUACCAGUUAUACUCUCGAGUCUCGACCGAUCGCUCCCUAGUAGUGCUUCGGUUUACAGAAUUUCGAUUACAGAGCCUUAUGCCUAUUUGGCUACUUGAAUUAUACGGUAAGAACUGAGUUGAAUAUUACUAAUGCUAGAAUGGACAAUGCAACUGAAUAAAUUUAGUGAGGACUGAAGAGUAGCUGAAGCUGGGAAGAGAAGAGAAAUAUUCAUCAACACAAAGAACUCAACUCUUUGCCUUUACUGAUUGAAGGAGUAAAUUACUGCCAUGGAGAAAACAUAAGGUUCCCUAACACUAGCCAAUGAAAAUGUUGAAAGAAGUUUAUAUAUAUAUAUAUAUAUAUAUAUAUAUAUAUAUAUAUAUAUAUAUAUAUAUAUUAAUGGAACUAAACGCCUAUUCUUGCUGAAUUCUACCGCAGUUAGCAUUUCCAAGGUUAAACCAUGAUUAGCAGACUUAAUUUAUCCUCGGUGUUUGUGUGACACAACUGUUAGAAAUAUGCCCUAGAGGCAAUAAUAAAUUGGUUAUUAUUA
Aegilops tauschii subsp. strangulata is the source of this 2624-nucleotide non-coding RNA. The record is from RefSeq and is a predicted model, not a curated record. Lineage: Eukaryota; Viridiplantae; Streptophyta; Magnoliopsida; Poales; Poaceae.